This 820-nucleotide small RNA is filed under the name Pan troglodytes (chimpanzee). RNAcentral describes it as "processed transcript". Lineage: Eukaryota; Metazoa; Chordata; Mammalia; Primates; Hominidae. The record is from RNAcentral.
AGCUCUUCAGUAGUUUCUGAACAUCUAGACGGUAGGAUGUAGAAUAGGGCACCAGGGGCCAGGGAGGCCCAAUCUCAGAGCGCUGCGGGCUCUGCUGGUGAUAGAAACAAUAUGGUGAAGUUAUAAGGAGAGGGGAGGGGUGGGGGGCGGGAAAGAUUCCUUAGGAUAGAAAAAAAACAAUGAAGAAAGCUCCACUUGAAGACCUAUGAAAUUUCCGACACUAGAACCUUUGUAUAUAGUUUUCGGUAACCUUCGGCAGGGGGCGCUCUGAAAUUGUUGCCACUUUCCGGACAGCCUCCCGUACUUUACCCUCUACAAAAUUGCACAGUGUUUCCGGCCCUUCUCAGUUGUGGACGCUCAUCACUGGCGUUAUCCUUCUUGCAGUUGGCAUUUGGGGCAAGGUGAGCCUGGAGAAUUACUUUUCUCUUUUAAAUGAGAAGGCCACCAAUGUCCCCUUCGUGCUCAUUGCUACUGGUACCGUCAUUAUUCUUUUGGGCACCUUUGGUUGUUUUGCUACCUGCCGAGCUUCUGCAUGGAUGCUAAAACUGUAUGCAAUGUUUCUGACUCUCGUUUUUUUGGUCGAACUGGUCGCUGCCAUCGUAGGAUUUGUUUUCAGACAUGAGAUUAAGAACAGCUUUAAGAAUAAUUAUGAGAAGGCUUUGAAGCAGUAUAACUCUACAGGAGAUUAUAGAAGCCAUGCAGUAGACAAGAUCCAAAAUACGUUGCAUUGUUGUGGUGUCACCGAUUAUAGAGAUUGGACAGAUACUAAUUAUUACUCAGAAAAAGGAUUUCCUAAGAGUUGCUGUAAACUUGAAGAUUG